Molecule: ribosomal RNA, 253 nt
Filed under: uncultured Eubacteriales bacterium
Lineage: Bacteria; Bacillati; Bacillota; Clostridia; Eubacteriales
Description: uncultured Clostridiales bacterium partial 16S ribosomal RNA
Rfam family: Bacterial small subunit ribosomal RNA
Source: RNAcentral
UACGUAGGGGGCAAGCGUUAUCCGGAUUUACUGGGUGUAAAGGGAGCGUAGACGGAAUUGCAAGUCUGAUGUGAAAAUCCGGGGCCCAACCCCGGAACUGCAUUGGAAACUGUAUUUCUAGAGUGUCGGAGAGGCAAGUGGAAUUCCUGGUGUAGCGGUGAAAUGCUUAGAGAUCAUACAGAACACCGAUUGCGAAGGCAGCUUACCAAACUAUAUCUGACGUUGAGGCACGAAAGCGUGGGUAGCAAACAGG